CCCCGGGCCAUGGUUCCUCAUAAAGCUUUGUUUAAUUUUCUCUUGCUAUUCUGUCUCAUGUGAAUUUGAAUUCGUUCUCCGGCCAGACGAACCCCCAUUUGGGGAGAGGAAACGUCCUCCUCCCCUACAAUACUUAUCUGCUUUACUUUUUUGUAGAGGAAUAUAAGGAAUAAGCCUUCUGGCCAGGUCUUGGGACAACAUGGAAAUAUGAAGAACUGGUAUCUCAUCAGAAAACUGACAUCGUUCACUAUACACAUCAGCUGUGGGCUUUGAAAUGGAAGCCAAGAGGAAAUCUUUCCAUUUCUUGAUGUAUGCCCUUUAAAAUGGAACCUACUGAAGACCCCCCAGUGGAAAUCCAACAGGGUCAUCAUUGGUUAAAGUUAUGGAUCAUAAGGAAUAUUCAAGCUAAAUAUAUUAAUGAGAAGCAUAAAAGUGAUCACUCAGAAAAUUCACCUGAGGAUUAUCUUUAAAAAUAAUAAUUGUGAGGGGCUGGCCCCUUGGCCGAGUGGUUAAGUUUGCGCGCUCCGCUGCAGGCGGCCCAGUGUUUCGUUGGUUCGAAUCCUG
This 564-nucleotide long non-coding RNA is filed under the name Equus caballus (horse). RNAcentral describes it as "lncRNA (ENSECAG00000037406.2)". The record is from RNAcentral. Lineage: Eukaryota; Metazoa; Chordata; Mammalia; Perissodactyla; Equidae.